GAGUCUUGCUCUUGUCGCCCAAGCUGGAGUGCAGUGGCACAAUCUCGGCUCACUACAACCUCCACCUCCCUGGUUCAAGCGAUUCUCCUCCCUCAGCCUCCUGAGUAGCUGGGAUUACAGGCAUGCACCACCACGUCCGGAUAAUUUUUAUAUUUUUCCUGGAGAUGGGGUUUCACCACGUUGGCCAGGCUGGUCUCAAAUUCCUGAUCUCGUGAUCCACCCACCUCAGCCUCCCAAAGUUCCGGGAUUACAGGCGUGAGCUACCGCGCCCGGCAAGUAUUUUGUUUUUAAAUUCAGCCUGCUCCUGGAGGUUUUUACUUGGCUUAAAAAUAACAUGAGACUUGAAAGUUCAUUGUCUUAAAAAAUAAAGAAGAAAAGACAAAAUUGUGGCUAAUGGAGGUGCAACCUCCAGACACAAAACUUGGAUUGAUGAUGGUAAAAUCUGAGAGCCUGUGUUGGAAGACAGCAGCCAGGAGCGAGAUGUUGCCCUCUUUAGAUUUCACAUCUUUGCUUCAGUGGUUUUCUUUAAAGGCAAGCAAAGAUGGAGUCUCACUCUGUUCCCCAGGCUUGAGUGCAGUGGUGCAAUCUCGGCUCACUGCAAGCUCCGCCUCCCAGGUUCGUGCCAUUCUCCUGCCUCAGCCUACCGGAGUAGCUGGGACUACAGGUGCCCGCCACCACGCCCGGCUAAUUUUCUGUAUUUUUAGUAGAGACAGUGUUUCACUGUGUUUGCCAGGAUGGUCUCAAUCUCCUGACCUUGUGAUCCGCCUGCCUUGGCCUCCCAAAGUGCUGGGAUUACAGGCAUGAGCCACCGUCCCUGGCCUAAAGUCGUGUCUUGAGUUGGGGAGCAUGUUAGGCCAUUCUUGCAUUGCUAUAAAGAAAUACCUGAGAUUGGGUAAUUUAUAAAGAAAGAGGUUGAUUUGGCUUACGGUUCUGCAGGCUGUACUGGAAGCAUGGCCCUGGCAUGUGCUCGGCUUCUGGGGAGGCCUCAGGGAGCUUUUGCUCAUGGUGGAAGAUGAAGUGAUAACAGGAGUCUCACAUGGUGGGAGCAGGAGCAAGAGAUGGGGGUCGGGGAGUAGAUGCCACACACACUUGACAACAACCACAUCUCGGGAGAACUCACUACCAAGAAAACUGCACCAAGCCAUGGAGGAUCCGUCCCCAUGACCCAAACGUCUCCCACCAGGCCCCACCUCCAACACUGGGGAUAAUUCAAUAUGAGACUUGGGUGGGGACAAAUAUCCUAACUAUAUCGGGAGUAUCCCUCUUCUGCUUUUCUAUAUAAAUAUUUCUGAAGGGUAAGAAAUACCUAUUCUUUGAAUGUUUCAUGGAAAUUUCCCCUAAAUCCACCUGGGUGUCAAGUUUUUAAAAACGGAGCUGAAAUUCAUCUAACAGAAUGAACCAUGUUGAAGCAGACUGUUCAGGGGCACUUAGUACAUUCAUAAUGUGCAGUCCUCACUGCUGUCCAGCUCCGUAAUACUUUCAUCCCUCAGAGUAGAUCCGGUGCUCAUUAGAAGUCAUCCUCACUCCCCAGUCCUCUCUCCCACAGCCUCUGACAAACCCUAUUUGACCUUCUACCUCUAUGGAUUUACCUAUAAUGGAUGUUUCAUGUAAAUGGAAUCAUAUAACAUAAUGGAGUAAUAUUGUAUGGAUGUACCACAUUUUGUUUAUCCAUUUAUCCACUGAUAGACAUUUGGCUUUGUCUUCUGGCUAUUGUGAAUACCACUGCUAUGAGCAUUCAUGUACAACCAUUUAUUUCACUACCUGUUCGCAAUUCUUUUUUCUUUUUUUUUCUUUCUUUUUUUUUUUUUUUUUUUUUGAGAUGGAGUCUUGCUUUGUUUCCCAGGCUGGAGUGCAGUGACACAAUCUCAGCUCACUGCAACCUCUGCCUCCUGGAUUCAAGUGAUUCUCCUGCCUCAGCCUCCCUAGUAGCUGGGAUUACAGGUGCACGCCACCAUGCCCAGCUAAUUUUUGUAUUUUUAGUAGAGACAGGGUUUCACCAUGUUGGCCAGGCUGGUCUCAAACUUCUGAUGUCAGGUGAUCCACCUGCCUCGGCCUCCUAAAGUGCUGGGAUUACA
RNAcentral lists this long non-coding RNA (2075 nucleotides) under Homo sapiens (human). RNAcentral's name for it is "HSALNT0290113". Lineage: Eukaryota; Metazoa; Chordata; Mammalia; Primates; Hominidae. The record is from RNAcentral.